This 484-nucleotide ribosomal RNA is filed under the name uncultured bacterium. Its description in RNAcentral is "bacterial SSU rRNA". It matches the Rfam family "Bacterial small subunit ribosomal RNA", at positions 30 to 507 of the family's 1533-position model. RNAcentral also lists the same sequence under 1 other name. The record is from RNAcentral.
AUUGAACGCUGGCGGCAUGCCUUACACAUGCAAGUCGAACGGCAGCGGGGACUUCGGUCCGCCGGCGAGUGGCGAACGGGUGAGUAAAGCAUCGGAACGUGCCCUGAAGUGGGGGAUAACGUAGCGAAAGUUACGCUAAUACCGCAUAUUCUGUGAGCAGGAAAGCAGGGGAUCUUCGGACCUUGUGCUUUAGGAGCGGCCGAUGUCGGAUUAGCUAGUUGGUGAGGUAAAGGCUCACCAAGGCGACGAUCCGUAGCGGGUCUGAGAGGAUGAUCCGCCACACUGGGACUGAGACACGGCCCAGACUCCUACGGGAGGCAGCAGUGGGGAAUUUUGGACAAUGGGCGCAAGCCUGAUCCAGCCAUGCCGCGUGAGUGAAGAAGGCCUUCGGGUUGUAAAGCUCUUUCGGCGGGGAAGAAAUUGCUUCGGCUAAUAACCGGAGUAGAUGACGGUACCCGCAUAAGAAGCACCGGCUAACUACGUG